RNAcentral lists this long non-coding RNA (207 nucleotides) under Numida meleagris (helmeted guineafowl). RNAcentral's name for it is "lncRNA (ENSNMEG00000002310.1)". The record is from RNAcentral. Lineage: Eukaryota; Metazoa; Chordata; Aves; Galliformes; Numididae.
GAGGAGGAGAAAAAAAGUAAGCUUUGACUAUUGAUGGAUAUCCUUUUUUUUGUAAUUGUUUCUGAGGAUCUCAUUCAUCAGUCUUCUGUGAGAACAUUAUUGGGAAAAUUGAAGGCACUUCAUCACCACAGCUUCCAUACUAGAGCAGGUGAUCCAUUUCAUGAGCCUUACCAGAAUCCUAAAUUGGACUGCAGCCUAGAUGUGUAA